CCUACGGGUGGCAGCAGUGGGGAAUUUUGGACAAUGGGCGCAAGCCUGAUCCAGCUAUUCCGCGUGUGGGAUGAAGGCCCUCGGGUUGUAAACCACUUUUGUAGAGAACGAAAAGACACCUUUUAAUAAAGGGCCCUGCCGACCCUACUCUAAGAAUAAGCACCGGCUAACUACGUGCCAGCAGCCGCGGUAAUACGUAGGGUGCGAGCGUUAAUCGGAAUUACUGGGCGUAAAGGGUGCGCAGGCGGUUGAGUAAGACAGCGGUGCAGUCCCCGAGCUGAACUCGGGAAUGGCAUAUGUGACUGCUCGACUAGAGUGUGUCAGAGGGAGGUGGAAUUCCACGUGUAGCAGUGAAAUGCGUAGAUAUGUGGAAGAACACCGAUGGCGAAGGCAGCCUCCUGGGACAUAACUGACGCUCAGGCACGAAAGCGUGGGGAGCAAACAGGAUUAGAUACCCGGGUAGUA
RNAcentral lists this ribosomal RNA (465 nucleotides) under uncultured bacterium. RNAcentral describes it as "partial 16S ribosomal RNA". It matches the Rfam family "Bacterial small subunit ribosomal RNA", at positions 338 to 795 of the family's 1533-position model. The record is from RNAcentral.